GGAGGUGGCAAGCGUUGUUCGGAAUUACUGGGCGUAAAGGGCGCGUAGGCGGCUAAGCAAGUCAGGUGUGAAAGCCCCGGGCUUAACUCGGGAAUUGCAUCUGAAACUGCCGUGCUUGAGUUCUGGAGGGGGUAGUGGAAUUCCCAGUGUAGCGGUGAAAUGCGUAGAUAUUGGGAGGAACACCUGCGGCGAAGGCGGCUACCUGGACAGAAACUGACGCUGAUGCGCGAAAGCUAGGGGAGCGAACGGGAUUAGAUACCCCGGUAGUCCUAGCCGUAAACGAUGGGCACUUGGUGUUGGGGGUAUUGAGUCCCUCAGUGCCGGAGUUAACACGUUAAGUGCCCCGCCUGGGGAGUACGGUCGCAAGACUGAA
RNAcentral lists this ribosomal RNA (373 nucleotides) under uncultured bacterium. Its description in RNAcentral is "bacterial SSU rRNA". It matches the Rfam family "Bacterial small subunit ribosomal RNA", at positions 527 to 898 of the family's 1533-position model. The record is from RNAcentral.